This 429-nucleotide ribosomal RNA is filed under the name uncultured bacterium. RNAcentral's name for it is "bacterial SSU rRNA". It matches the Rfam family "Bacterial small subunit ribosomal RNA", at positions 94 to 524 of the family's 1533-position model. The record is from RNAcentral.
AUCGCCAGACCGCCGGAGGUAUUCCUGGGCACCUGCCUGUAAGACUGGGAUAACUCCGGGAAACCGGAGCUAAUACCGGAUAAUUCUUUUCCUCUCAUGGUGGAUUGUUGAAAGAUGGUUUCGGCUGUCACUUACAGAUGGGCCCGCGGCGCAUUUCUAGUUGGUGAGGUAACGGCUCACCAAGGCCACGAUGCGUAACCCACCUGAAGGGUGAUCGGCCACCCUGGGACUGAAACACGGCCCAAACUCCUACGGGAGGCACAUAGGAAUCUUCCGCAAUGGACAAAGUCUGACGGAACAACCCCGCGUGAAUGAAAAGGGCUUCGGAACCUAAAACUCUGUUGUUGGGAAAAACAAUCCGGAUAACUGCCGGGACCUUGACGGGACCUGACCAAAAACCCCGGUAAUACGUGCCCCCCCCCCGGUAAA